CUCCUGUCUCAUCCAUCACCUCAUUGAAGCUGGUUGGUCAGCCAGAGAGAGAGAGAGAGAUAGAGAGAGGGAGACCUGGAGCCUUCAGUCAAUCCUGCAGCCGGUCCUCAGGAAAGUGCUGACUCCAUAGACUUCCCAAUUGCUGGGUGUCUCGUCCAACACCUCAUUGAAGUUGAUUGGUCAGCCAGAGAGACAAAGGGCAGAGAGAUCUGGAGCCUUCAAUAAAUCCUGCAGUGAGGUACUCAGGAAAGUCCUGACUCAAUAGCCUUCCCAGCUGCGGGGUGGAUUGUCCAUCACCACAUUGAACGCAGUUGGUCUGCCAGAGGGAGACAAAGGGCAGGGAGAUCUGGAGCCUUCAAUAAAUCCUGUAGUGAGGUAUUCCUGAUGUCCCUGACUCAGCACAAUUCCCAAUUCCUGUCUCGUCCAUCACCACAUUGAAGACGGUUGGUCAGCCAGAGAGAGAUGGAGAGUGAGAUCUGGAGCCUUCAGUAAAUCCUGCAGCCAGUACUCGGGAAGUUCCUGACUCAAUAGACUUCCCAACUGCUGUGCGUCUCAUCCAUCACCUCAUUGAAGAUGGUUGGUCACCAGGGAGACAAAGGGCAGGGAGAUCUGGAGCCUUUAAUAAAUCCUGCAGUGAGGUACUCAGGAAGGUUCAGACUCGAUUAACUUCCCAGCUGCUGGGUGUCUCGUCCAUCAUCACAUUGAAGAUAGUUGGUCAGCCAGAGAGACAAAAGAGAGGGAGAUCUGCAGCCUUCAAUAAAUCCUGCAGUGAGGUAUGGACUACCAAUAGAGAUCCAGACAGAUCAAACCUCACAUCCGGACUAUUCAAGGAGAUGAUGGAUAACUUGGGAAUAAAGCAAUUCAAAUUUACUGCGUACUAUUUGGAAUCACAGGGAGCAUGAGAGAGAUGUCAUCAAACACUGAAGACCAUGUUGAGGUGUUAUGGUCAGGAUUAUCCAGAUGAUUGCGAUAAGGAAAUUGCUUUUGAACUUUUUGUGAUCACAGAUGCACAGAAUGAAUUGACCAAAUUCAGUCUAUUCAAAUUAAUUUGUGGGCAUAAAGUAAAAGGACCAUUAACAUUGUUUAAGGAGAAAUUAAUAAGUCAGAAUUCAGAGACCAUCCAUUUGGAUGAUUUGUCAAAUUUUAGGGAACGAUUAAAUAGAGCUGGAGAGUUGGGUAGACAGCAUUUAAAAGUAUUGCAGCAUACAAUGAAACAGGAAGUGGAUGCGAAAUAAUAAAUUGGCAAUUUUGCAAUUGGGAGUAAAGUAUUGGUGUUACUUCCAGUAACAGUUGAACCUUGAAAAGCAAGUGUUGGCGUAUCUCAUCAAGUUGGGAAGAAAUUGAAUGAGGUGAACUAUUUGAUACGGACUCCAGACAAGAUGAGAUCUCACGGAGUCUGUCAUGUGAAUACACUCAAAAGGUAUUUUGACAGGGAAGGAAAGCAAGAGGAGAAGGUGUUAAUGAUUACAGCACAGAAGGAAGAACCAAGUUCAGAGGAUUCUGAAUUGGACAUUCUUCAAAUCAAAUUGGAGAAUGAGGAAGUUGUCAAAAAUUGGGAUGAAUUGUUGAGUUACUUUACACAAGAAAAGAAAAGUGACCUGAAAGAGUUUUUACUAUCUUGUGGAGAGAUAUGCUGCAAAAACUGGGAAGUACGAACAUAAUUGUGCAUGAUGUAGACACAGGAGAUGCUGUUCUGAUUAAGCAACAUCGUUAUGGCCAUGACUGUCCAAAAUUGGCACAGGUUCAGAAGGAGAUAGAGCGCACACUCCAAUAUGUCAUAAUCGAAAUGAGUUACAGUGACUGGAGUUCACAUAUAGUCAUGGUACCAAAGCCAGAUGGUACCCAACGGUCAUGUGUGGACUAUCACAAAGUCAGUGCCGUUACAAAGACUGAUGCGGAUCCAAUUCCAUGUUUGGAGACCUGUGUCGAAAAAGUGGGAGAAGAUACUUACAUUUCUAAGUUGGAUUUGCUCAGAGGCUACUGGCACGGACCUCUGUCAGAGAGAGCAAAGGCAAUUUCGGCUUUCAUAAUGCCAAAUGGACAGUUCAAAUUGUGGCAUUUUGUAUGAAAAGCGAUCCAGCCACAUUUCAGAGACUGAUAAUAAGGUCAUUGCCUGAUUACCCAACUGUGUGGUCUACGCUGAUGACCUGAUGAUUUUUAGUCACUCAUGGAAGGAACAUUUAGAGCAUUUAUCAGACUUGUGCGAUCAACCUCAGAAGGCAGGCUUGGUGGUAAACUUAGCUAAAGGAGACUCUAUCCUUGUUUUUUUUCGCAGGGACAUUAAAACGGGGCCAAGCUCAUAUCAGUCUGGUUUGGUACAGAGAUGAAAAGGAUUUUUAGAGGCCUUUUGUUUAUAUGGAAACAGGUGGGACUUCAGGCCAAAGUGGUCAUGCUUUAUAAGUGACCAGUAUAAUGAACGGAGAGUGGUGAGCUAUUUUAGCUGAACUUGCUGAGCUGAUUUGAGCUGAGCAGUUUUCAGUUGAGUUUUGAACUAGGAAGUUCAUCUGGGAGCUGUGUGGAAACUCUCUCUCGUUUCUGACCUUCAAUUUCAACCUGGAAGUAUUUGUUCCAUUUGUACUGGUUUUUAUUGGGAGUUUGAUGAUUGGGACAGUUGCGUAUGCUCGGAGCAGCAUAAUUAAGUUUACUUGAAUUGGUUGAAUUCUGUCGUGAUUCUUUAUUCUGUUCUUUGU
This is a long non-coding RNA of Hemiscyllium ocellatum (epaulette shark), 2690 nucleotides long. RefSeq lists it as uncharacterized. The transcript is spliced from 7 exons. Lineage: Eukaryota; Metazoa; Chordata; Chondrichthyes; Orectolobiformes; Hemiscylliidae. The record is from RefSeq and is a predicted model, not a curated record.